GCCAUUGAUAGUAGUAGUUGAACUUAACAUUGCCCUAAUAUGCUUUCAUUGUAUAAUUAUUGAUAGUUUAGGCCUUAUUUGGGCACUAUGGGAUUGAGGCUAAUCAUAUAAGAUUUAACAAUCUCAAGGGUAAAACUCCAGUAGAGAUGGGAAUGAGAUGUUUGGAUGAUUAAACUUAAGGGUGUUUAACCUUUAGGAAUAUGAAAAUAAUGAGCUCAAGAGGACAUUAUUUUUAUCCCACCAUCAUUGGGCUCCACUUCUCCACCAACCUACAACCCUCCACUCCCCGUGAUGCCUCCCCG
Molecule: long non-coding RNA, 302 nt
Filed under: Elaeis guineensis (African oil palm)
Lineage: Eukaryota; Viridiplantae; Streptophyta; Magnoliopsida; Arecales; Arecaceae
Description: long non-coding RNA (EGUI_LNC011335)
Source: RNAcentral